This 650-nucleotide ribosomal RNA is filed under the name uncultured soil bacterium. RNAcentral describes it as "bacterial SSU rRNA". It matches the Rfam family "Bacterial small subunit ribosomal RNA", at positions 33 to 694 of the family's 1533-position model. The record is from RNAcentral.
ACGCUGGCGGCGUGCCUAAUACAUGCAAGAUNGAGCGAACCACUUCGGUGGUGAGCGGCGAACGGGUGAGUAACACGUAGGUGAUCUGCCCAUCAGACGGGGACAACGAUUGGAAACGAUCGCUAAUACCGGAUAGGACGAAAGUUUAAAGGUGCUUCUGGCACCGCUGAUGGAUGAGCCUGCGGCGCAUUAGCUAGUUGGUAGGGUAAAGGCCUACCAAGGCGACGAUGCGUAGCCGACCUGAGAGGGUGAACGGCCACACUGGGACUGAGACACGGCCCAGACUCCUACGGGAGGCAGCAGUAGGGAAUCUUCGGCAAUGGGCGAAAGCCUGACCGAGCAACGCCGCGUGAAUGAUGAAGGCCUUCGGGUUGUAAAAUUCUGUUAUAAGGGAAGAACGACUUUAGUAGGAAAUGGCUAGAGUGUGACGGUACCUUAUGAGAAAGCCACGGCUAACUACGUGCCAGCAGCCGCGGUAAUACGUAGGUGGCGAGCGUUAUCCGGAAUUAUUGGGCGUAAAGAGCGCGCAGGUGGUUGAUUAAGUCUGAUGUGAAAGCCCACGGCUUAACCGUGGAGGGUCAUUGGAAACUGGUCGACUUGAGUGCAGAAGAGGGAAGUGGAAUUCCAUGUGUAGCGGUGAAAUGCGUAGA